AGGUAAGCUACUAAGAGCGAAUGGUGGAUGCCUUGACUGGUAAAGGCGAUGAAGGACGUACUAGACUGCGAUAAGCUACGGGGAGCUGUCAAGAAGCUUUGAUCCGUAGAUUUCCGAAUGGGGCAACCCAAUGUAUAGAGAUAUACAUUACCUAUAUAGGAGCGAACGAGGGGAAUUGAAACAUCUUAGUACCCUCAGGAAAAGAAAUCAAUAGAGAUUGCGUCAGUAGCGGCGAGCGAAAGCGCAAGAGGGCAAACCCAGUGCUUGCACUGGGGGUUGUAGGACUGCAAUGUGCAAGAGGUAAGUUUAGCAGAACAUUCUGGAAAGUAUAACCAUAGAGGGUGAUAGUCCCGUAUGCGAAAAACAAACCUUAGCUAGCAGUAUCCUGAGUAGGGCGGGACACGAGGAAUCCUGUCUGAAUCCGGGUCGACCACGAUCCAACCCUAAAUACUAAUACCAGAUCGAUAGUGCACAAGUACCGUGAGGGAAAGGUGAAAAGAACUGAGGUGAUCAGAGUGAAAUAGAACCUGAAACCAUUUGCUUACAAUCAUUCAGAGCCUUAUGUAGCAAUACAGGGUGAUGGACUGCCUUUUGCAUAAUGAGCCUGCGAGUUGUGGUGUCUGGCAAGGUUAAGCAAACGCGAAGCCGUAGCGAAAGCGAGUCUGAAUAGGGCGCUUAGUCAGAUGCUGCAGACCCGAAACGAAGUGAUCUAUCCAUGAGCAAGUUGAAGCUAGUGUAAGAACUAGUGGAGGACUGAACCCAUAGGCGUUGAAAAGCCCCGGGAUGACUUGUGGAUAGGGGUGAAAGGCCAAUCAAACUUCGUGAUAGCUGGUUCUCUCCGAAAUAUAUUUAGGUAUAGCGUUGUGUCGUAAUAUAAGGGGGUAGAGCACUGAAUGGGCUAGGGCAUACACCAAUGUACCAAACCCUAUCAAACUCCGAAUACCUUAUAUGUAAUCACAGCAGUCAGGCGGCGAGUGAUAAAAUCCGUCGUCAAGAGGGAAACAACCCAGACUACCAGCUAAGGUCCCUAAAUCUUACUUAAGUGGAAAACGAUGUGAAGUUACUUAAACAACCAGGAGGUUGGCUUAGAAGCAGCCAUCCUUUAAAGAAAGCGUAAUAGCUCACUGGUCUAGUGAUUUUGCGCGGAAAAUAUAACGGGGCUAAAGUAAGUACCGAAGCUGUAGACUUAGUUUACUAAGUGGUAGGAGAGCGUUCUAUUUGCGUCGAAGGUAUACCGGUAAGGAGUGCUGGAGCGAAUAGAAGUGAGCAUGCAGGCAUGAGUAGCGAUAAUUAAUGUGAGAAUCAUUAACGCCGUAAACCCAAGGUUUCCUACGCGAUGCUCGUCAUCGUAGGGUUAGUCGGGUCCUAAGUCGAGUCCGAAAGGGGUAGACGAUGGCAAAUUGGUUAAUAUUCCAAUACCAACAUUAGUGUGCGAUGGAAGGACGCUUAGGGCUAAGGGGGCUAGCGGAUGGAAGUGCUAGUCUAAGGUCGUAGGAGGUUAUACAGGCAAAUCCGUAUAACAAUACUCCGAGAACUGAAAGGCUUUUUGAAGUCUUCGGAUGGAUAGAAGAACCCCUGAUGCCGUCGAGCCAAGAAAAGUUUCUAAGUUUAGCUAAUGUUGCCCGUACCGUAAACCGACACAGGUGGGUGGGAUGAGUAUUCUAAGGCGCGUGG
Molecule: ribosomal RNA, 1674 nt
Filed under: Campylobacter jejuni
Lineage: Bacteria; Pseudomonadati; Campylobacterota; Epsilonproteobacteria; Campylobacterales; Campylobacteraceae
Description: partial 23S ribosomal RNA
Rfam family: Bacterial large subunit ribosomal RNA
Source: RNAcentral